This 497-nucleotide ribosomal RNA is filed under the name uncultured bacterium. RNAcentral describes it as "partial 16S ribosomal RNA". It matches the Rfam family "Bacterial small subunit ribosomal RNA", at positions 28 to 507 of the family's 1533-position model. The record is from RNAcentral.
GAUGAACGCUGGCGGCGUGCCUAAUACAUGCAAGUCGAGCGAACAGACGAGGAGCUUGCUCCUCUGACGUUAGCGGCGGACGGGUGAGUAACACGUGGAUAACCUACCUAUAAGACUGGGAGAACUUCGGGAAACCGGAGCUAAUACCGGAUAACAUGUUGAGCCGCAUGGUUCAACAGUGAAAGACGGUCUUGCUGUCACUGAGAGAUGGAUCCGCGCCGCAUUAGCUAGUUGGUAAGGUAACGGCUUACCAAGGCAACGAUGCGUAGCCGACCUGAGAGGGUGGUCGGCCACCCUGGAACUGAGACACCGUCCAGACUCCUACGGGAGGCAGCAGUAGGGAAUAUUCCGCCAUGGGCGAAAUCCUGACGGAGCAACGACGCGUGAGUGAAGAAGGUCUUCGGCGCGUAAAACUCUGUUAUUAGGGAAGAACAAAUGUGUAAGUAACUAUGCACGUCUUGACGGUACCUAAUCAGAAAGCCACGGCUAACUACGUG